This 467-nucleotide ribosomal RNA is filed under the name uncultured bacterium. RNAcentral describes it as "partial 16S ribosomal RNA". It matches the Rfam family "Bacterial small subunit ribosomal RNA", at positions 28 to 506 of the family's 1533-position model. The record is from RNAcentral.
GACGAACGCUGGCGGCGUGCUUAACACAUGCAAGUCGAACGGAAAGGCCCUGCUUUUGUGGGGUGCUCGAGUGGCGAACGGGUGAGUAACACGUGAGUAACCUGCCCUUGACUUUGGGAUAACUUCAGGAAACUGGGGCUAAUACCGGAUAGGAGCUCCUGCUGCAUGGUGGGGGUUGGAAAGUUUCGGCGGUUGGGGAUGGACUCGCGGCUUAUCAGCUUGUUGGUGGGGGAGUGGCUUACCAAGGCUUUGACGGGUAGCCGGCCUGAGAGGGUGACCGGCCACAUUGGGAAUGGGAAACGGCCCGGGCGCAUAAGGGGGGAAAGGGGGGGGAAUAUUGCCAAAGGGGCGGAGGCCUGAUACAGCAACGCCGGGUGGGGGAUGACGGCCUUCGGGUUGUAAACCGCUUUCGCUUGUGACGAAGGGUGAGGGCGGGAAAGGGGUAAAAAAGCCCCGGCUAACUACGG